CUUCAGGGUCCCCAGCCGGACGGGCCGCUGCGGGGUGUGCUCCUGACCGUAGGUCGCGAGCAGCGCCUGCGCCUC
RNAcentral lists this antisense RNA (75 nucleotides) under Streptomyces acidiscabies. RNAcentral's name for it is "ASpks TB sRNA". It matches the Rfam family "ASpks TB sRNA". Lineage: Bacteria; Bacillati; Actinomycetota; Actinomycetes; Kitasatosporales; Streptomycetaceae. The record is from Rfam by way of RNAcentral.